AGUGAACGCUGGCGGCAGGCUUAAUACAUGCAAGUCGAACGAGCGGCGGACGGGUGAGUAAUAUCUGAUAAACUGCCUGAUGGAGGGGGAUAACUAGUAGCAACGGUAGCUACUACCGCAUACCAUCGGGGGUGCCUUGAUGGGAGUAGCUAGUAGGUGGGGUAAUGGCUCACCUAGUCGACGAUCACUGGCUGGACUGAGAGUAUGACCAGCCACACUGCAACUGAGACACGGUCCAGACCCCUACGGGAGGCAGCGUAGGGGAAUAUUGCACAAUGGGCGCAAGCCGAAUGCAGCCAUGCCGCGCGUGUGAAGAAGACCUUCGGGUUGUAAAGGACUAUCAGUGAGGAGGCGUUACCCGAAGAAGAAGCACCGGCUAACUCCGUGCCAGCAGCCGCGGUAAUAC
Molecule: ribosomal RNA, 406 nt
Filed under: uncultured bacterium
Lineage: Bacteria
Description: partial 16S ribosomal RNA
Rfam family: Bacterial small subunit ribosomal RNA
Source: RNAcentral